This 72-nucleotide transfer RNA is filed under the name Ictidomys tridecemlineatus (thirteen-lined ground squirrel). RNAcentral describes it as "Spermophilus tridecemlineatus (thirteen-lined ground squirrel) tRNA". It matches the Rfam family "tRNA". Rfam says of the family: Transfer RNA (tRNA) molecules are approximately 80 nucleotides in length. Their secondary structure includes four short double-helical elements and three loops (D, anti-codon, and T loops). Further hydrogen bonds mediate the characteristic L-shaped molecular structure. tRNAs have two regions of fundamental functional importance: the anti-codon, which is responsible for specific mRNA codon recognition, and the 3' end, to which the tRNAs corresponding amino acid is attached (by aminoacyl-tRNA synthetases). tRNAs cope with the degeneracy of the genetic code in two manners: having more than one tRNA (with a specific anti-codon) for a particular amino acid; and 'wobble' base-pairing, i.e. permitting non-standard base-pairing at the 3rd anti-codon position. The record is from Rfam by way of RNAcentral. Lineage: Eukaryota; Metazoa; Chordata; Mammalia; Rodentia; Sciuridae.
UGGGGUGUGGCUCAGUGGCAGAGCGCUUGCCUGGCAUGUGUGAGGCACUGGGUUCAAUUGUCAGCACUGCAU